Molecule: non-coding RNA, 112 nt
Organism: Acanthosepion pharaonis
Lineage: Eukaryota; Metazoa; Mollusca; Cephalopoda; Sepiida; Sepiidae
Source: the annotation of a GenBank genome assembly
ACGUCCACAUUAUGUUGAAACAUCGGUUCUCGUACGAUCAGCGAAAUUAAGCAACGCCGAGCCUGGUCAAUACCUAGAUGGGUGACCGUUUGGGAUUAUCAGGUGCUGUAAG